CGGGUGUAGAAUCUAUUAGAAAAUUGACAAUUGUUUCUUUUGCUACAUUGAUUAAAAUCACAAGGUUCAAACCAGUCAUGAGAUAUGGAAUAAUACUAGAAUAAAGUUCACUUAAAAUCCUUCUUCUCAGUUUAUAAGUAGAAUCCAUUCUAAUAUUGACCUAAUAUUUUCAAAACAAAAAUAGUUUAUAUUAUAUUUACAAGGAUAAAUUAAUUAAUUAUUUUUGUACUGUAACUUACACUGAACGAUGUUCAUGACCUAUACAUUGGGCAGUCAUCCUCAUUGAAACAGCAUGCAAUGGAUGGCUCAAAAUUAUACAUGUGGCAGUAUAUAUCAUUUCUAUUGAUGUGUUUAUUUUACAAUUUCGAUUCUCACAACAAUUCUCUGUCUUGUGCCUUAUACUAAAGUUGUUUGUACAAAUAGACUCUUCCAUCUUUGAUUACUUGACUUAUAUAACACGUUCUUGGCCUGCCUCUUCCACAUUUUCCUUCUAUUAUACCUUCCAGGAUGAUGCUAUGUAGUUUUUCGUUGUGUCAUUAUAACCUAUUAUAUGCCAUCGCCUUGAUCUUAAAUUAUUUAGCAAUGUUUUUUUCUCUUUGACUAAAUCUAAUACUUCUUCGUUUGUCUUCAUUUCCAUCCAUUUUUCACCAACACCACAUUUAUAGAGCUUCUAAAGUGGUUUCAUAUUUUUUGUUCGACGUUCAUGUUUAACUGCCAUAUAAUGUUGUACUUUACACAUAUAUGUUUUAAUUAAAUGUUUUCUUGUUCCUAUAGAUCUACAUUUCUGAUGUUAGUAAUUUACUCUGAAGUAAAAAAUUAUUUUUUUGCUUGCUCUAUUCCACUUUUUAUUUCCUUUUCU
Cinara cedri is the source of this 859-nucleotide non-coding RNA. The record is from the annotation of a GenBank genome assembly. Lineage: Eukaryota; Metazoa; Arthropoda; Insecta; Hemiptera; Aphididae.